RNAcentral lists this ribosomal RNA (301 nucleotides) under uncultured bacterium. RNAcentral describes it as "partial 16S ribosomal RNA". It matches the Rfam family "Bacterial small subunit ribosomal RNA", at positions 509 to 807 of the family's 1533-position model. The record is from RNAcentral.
CAGUCGCCGCGGUAAUACGAAGGGGGCUAGCGUUGCUCGGAAUUACUGGGCGUAAAGGGCGCGUAGGCGGCGCUCCAAGUUAGGCGUGAAAUUCCCGGGCUCAACCUGGGGACUGCGCUUAAGACUGGAGUGCUUGAGGAUGGAAGAGGGUUGUGGAAUUCCCAGUGUAGAGGUGAAAUUCGUAGAUAUUGGGAAGAACACCGGUGGCGAAGGCGGCAACCUGGUCCAUUACUGACGCUGAGGCGCGAUAGCGUGGGGAGCAAACAGGAUUAGAUACCCCCGUAGUCCCUGUCUCUUAUAC